UACGUAGGGGGCAAGCGUUGUCCGGAUUUAUUGGGCGUAAAGGGCGUGUAGGCGGCUUCGUAAGUCUCAUUGUGAAAGCCCUCGGCUCAACCGAGGAACUGCAUGGGAAACUGCGGAGCUUGAGUCCGAGAGAGGAGAGCGGAAUUCCCAGUGUAGCGGUGAAAUGCGUAGAUAUUGGGAGGAACACCGGUGGCGAAGGCGGCUCUCUGGACCGGUACUGACGCUGAGACGCGAAAGCUAGGGGAGCAAACGGG
This 254-nucleotide ribosomal RNA is filed under the name uncultured bacterium. RNAcentral's name for it is "partial 16S ribosomal RNA". It matches the Rfam family "Bacterial small subunit ribosomal RNA", at positions 524 to 776 of the family's 1533-position model. The record is from RNAcentral.